AUGCGGACCCUCAGUCCUCAGGCAGGGAGAAAGAACCUCUGAAGUAAGCCCUCACCUCUGCAGGUGGGGCUCAGGCCCAGAGACUGGGAUCAGCUGGCUCAGGCAGCUCAGGUCCUGGUUCGUCCCCUAGCCCAGGAGGACGCUGUGGGAGCUGGAGCAGCGGCAAGAGGGAGAACGGGGGGAAGCAGCACUAGAGAAGUUCCCACAGCUCAUCCUGUCACUGGCUGCUCUGCUGAAAUUAUCAAUAAGAAAUGCCAGUUGGAUCUGUGACAUGUCUGCCUGCAGCUGGAUGGGAGCAACGGACAGCUUGUCCUCCGAAUGUGUUUUCUCCAGCCCCCCUCCCAGCCCAGCGGCGAUGUCUCUGCCUGGCUGGCCCGUGCCCUUGACUUCCAGGCAGUAGGAGAUGGAGUUCUCUAGACAGCAGCAGUUCAGCCGCCACUCCGCCUCUGAAGGGAAGGAAGGGAAAGGGGUGCUGGCUACUGUGAAAUAACAAGAGUCCAAGAGCAAGGUGUCCAGAGUCAGAGCUCCUGGGUUUGAACCUUGUUCCACCAGCACAUCCUACCUCUGUGGCCUGGUCCUUCAGCUCCUACUUAAUGGAAGCCUCGCAGAUGCAAGAUGGCUCCAGCAGGCCCAGCAUCACUUCUUCUCAGUGUCCCAAAGCCAGAAGAGAGGCUGUUGUUUUUAAAAGCAGGAAAACUUUCCUAAACUUGGCCAGAAUUGCAUCACAGACCCUUUCCUAAAACAAUUUCCAGCAAAGGGAAUAGACUUACCAUGUCUGGUACAGAUGAAUCAAGAUUUGCCCCU
RNAcentral lists this small RNA (804 nucleotides) under Pan troglodytes (chimpanzee). RNAcentral describes it as "processed transcript". The record is from RNAcentral. Lineage: Eukaryota; Metazoa; Chordata; Mammalia; Primates; Hominidae.